RNAcentral lists this ribosomal RNA (467 nucleotides) under uncultured bacterium. RNAcentral describes it as "partial 16S ribosomal RNA". It matches the Rfam family "Bacterial small subunit ribosomal RNA", at positions 28 to 507 of the family's 1533-position model. The record is from RNAcentral.
GACGAACGCUGGCGGCGUGCUUAACACAUGCCAGUCGAACGGAAAGGCCUCUUUCGGGGGGUACUCGAGUGGCGAACGGGUGAGUAACACGUGAGUAACCUGCCCUUGACUUUGGGAUAACUUCAGGAAACUGGGGCUAAUACCGGAUAGGAGCUCCUGCUGCAUGGUGGGGGUUGGAAAGUUUCGGCGGUUGGGGAUGGACUCGCGGCUUAUCAGCUUGUUGGUGGGGUAGUGGCUUACCAAGGCUUUGACGGGUAGCCGGCCUGAGAGGGUGACCGGCCAAAUUGGGACUGAGAUACGGCCCAGACUCCUACGGGAGGCAGCAGUGGGGAAUAUUGCACAAUGGGUGGAAGCCUGAUGCAGCAACGCCGUGUGCGGGAUGACGGCCUUCGGGUUGUAAACCGCUUUCGCUCAUGACGAAGCUUUGUGUGACGGUAGUGGGUAAAGAAGCACCGGCUAACUACGUG